AUUGAACGCUGGCGGCAGGCUUAACACAUGCAAGUCGAGCGGGGGAAGGUAGCUUGCUACUGGACCUAGCGGCGGACGGGUGAGUAAUGCUUAGGAACCUGCCUAUUAGUGGGGGACAACAUCUCGAAAGGGAUGCUAAUACCGCAUACGUCCUACGGGAGAAAGCAGGGGAUCUUCGGACCUUGCGCUAAUAGAUGAGCCUAAGUCGGAUUAGCUAGUUGGUGGGGUAAAGGCCUACCAAGGCGACGAUCUGUAGCGGGUCUGAGAGGAUGGACGGCCACCGUGGGGCUGGGACACGGCCCAGACUCCUACGGGAGGCGGCAGUGGGGAAUAUUGGACAAUGGGGGGAACCCUGAUCUAGCCAUGCCGCGUGUGUGAAGAAGGCCUUAUGGUUGUAAAGCACUUUAAGCGAGGAGGAGGCUACUCUAGUUAAUACCUAGGGAUAGUGGACGUUACUCGCAGAAUAAGCACCGGCUAACUCUGUGCCAGCCGCCGCCGUAA
Molecule: ribosomal RNA, 501 nt
Filed under: uncultured bacterium
Lineage: Bacteria
Description: partial 16S ribosomal RNA
Rfam family: Bacterial small subunit ribosomal RNA
Source: RNAcentral